RNAcentral lists this small nucleolar RNA (67 nucleotides) under Procavia capensis (Cape rock hyrax). RNAcentral describes it as "Small nucleolar RNA U54 (ENSPCAG00000019971.1)". It matches the Rfam family "Small nucleolar RNA U54". Lineage: Eukaryota; Metazoa; Chordata; Mammalia; Hyracoidea; Procaviidae. The record is from RNAcentral.
UGGCAGUGAGGAGAGAAUAUAGGGGUUGAGUUAAAGUGAUGAAUUUAUACGCUAUUCUGAGCCAGCA